RNAcentral lists this ribosomal RNA (321 nucleotides) under Triticum aestivum (bread wheat). Its description in RNAcentral is "partial small subunit ribosomal RNA". The record is from RNAcentral. Lineage: Eukaryota; Viridiplantae; Streptophyta; Magnoliopsida; Poales; Poaceae.
AUGGCACACAAUUCCCGGUUUCAUUUCGGAGAGACUCGUGGAAAAAAAUAUGCAGAAAUUUACACUUCAUAUAUCACUCUCUCUCUCCAUCGAGAAAAGAGAACAUCAACAAGAGCUGAGAAUUCGACAAGGUACUUCAUCGACUCAAUACCUACCAGCCGACAAGUAAGCCACCAACAAGAAAACAAUUAUCAUAGGGCAUAUCUAUCUACUAGGACUUCAAUAUCACCAGGCAUCAUCAAUCUGCACUUCAGCAGCAACCACCAGCCAACAAAGAAAAGCACAAGCUGCACAUCCGGCUCCUCUUGCCACUUUACCUAA